GCAGCUUCUCGUACUGCAGCCGAACUUCCUCCUUCAGUUGGUUCACUUUCUCCUGCGAGUACAGAGGGCAGGAGUGGGCAGGCAGGCUUACUGCAUGGCUGCUUCUCCACGACCAAACCCACCAGGAGCUGGUUCAGGGAGGAUUCAGGGCCAACUCCUGCUACAGACAGCGCCUGGGAGAACAGUGGGAGCUGCUGCCGCUUCAAGCCUGGGAAACUGGAAGGAAGAUGGGAAAUACCUGCCUGCCGUCCCCUUCACGACCCCACCCCAGUUCACCGAAUGAGCAAAUCAGGUUGCCAAGACACUGGAAAAUGCUGGAAAACAGGGAGCAGAGGAAGCAAGGCCCAGACCCCCCACCACCAGCAGCCUCCUUUCCAUCCCAACCCCCACCUGCCUCCCCAGGGAAUGGCUAAGAGCCAAGGCCCCACUUCCCACCUGGGAAAAACCCAUAGCUGAGAUCCGACCAGAUUUCCCAGCUCAGUUCAGAGCAAGUACUCUCUGCGCAGGCAGGUGGGCUGGAGGCACCUUACACAUGCCACCGCCCCAUCCCCCCACAGCAGUGCAUGGCCUGGACUGCGUACACUGGAGCAUGCAGGAGCAGAGCAGAGUGGAACGUGGCCUGGGCUAGAAGCUCUGGAGGCCCCAGGCCACCAGGGAGACUGGGACUAGGUGGGGCCCAGGGAGGACCUUCACACCCCCAGCCCUGCCUGUCGGGCCUCAGGCCUUUGGUGAUCUGCCCGGGGCCUAUGAGGACAAAAGCAUGAAGAAUCAGGAGCCGCCAUUCCCACCCUCCACCACCUGGGCCCCCACUCCUCAGCUUUGCCGCUGCUUCCUCUGACUCCCCUCCCGGCCUGGAGCAGCGAACCCUGAGCCCCUACAUUCCUGCCCCAGGAAAGCCUCAUGUCCCUCUGGAGACUGACUGGCCAGGCCAGCUGCCAUUUUUGAUGCCAGACUAGACUGGGCAGACGGGUGAGGCUUGGGGACUCUGGGCUGUAUAAAAGUUAAUAAAUAAUAAUAAUAAAACCCUCAAGUCAACCUUGAAGAGAAACAAGGUCAGGAGGAAACAGGGCCCCAGG
RNAcentral lists this long non-coding RNA (1076 nucleotides) under Homo sapiens (human). RNAcentral's name for it is "HSALNT0359760". Lineage: Eukaryota; Metazoa; Chordata; Mammalia; Primates; Hominidae. The record is from RNAcentral.